AUUCAUUUAGUAAACCCAGAGAAUAUCUCUGUUUGCAUUUAAAUCAGCAUCAAGGAUGGUCAUGCUUCAUUUUGUUUUCUUGUGUGGGUUUAAAUUUUUUAUAUGUAAACUGGACUUAUGUACUAUUUCUUUCAACGAGCAUGUUUUGCUCAAUCAGCUCUUGUUUCUUUUUUGACAUAAAAACUCAAACUAUCCAGUAAGGCCUAAUCAAGCCCUCAAUCACUUUUUUGCACAUUUAUUUCAUAGUUGAUUGGUCAGUGAUGCUUUUACCUACGCAUUUGCGUGAAAGAAAAUUCUAGCUUUCAUGAAACUUUUUCGAAUCAUAAAUAAGACUGAUUCAUAGUAUUUUUUAUGGUAGAUGCCUACAAGGCAGUAGACUAACUAGAUCGAUGCCUCCCGACCUUUCAGUUUUGCAUUACUUUAAUAUGCCAUUUAGAAAUGCUUUUUGGGUGGCAUCUCUUCUUAACGCUUCAUUCGAGAUCACCAGAACUAUUCAAGGACCUGGUGUCCUGCAUCCAUGGAUUAGUUGUUGUAUUGGUCAGUUUGCUUAUUUCCUCUUUCCUUUGUUUCAUUAUGGAUUUUUGGACUUUGGUUGCUUUAGUGCUGUGUGCUGCUACUUGUGUUUUUAAUUGAUCACGAAAUCGCUUACUGAAAUGCAGGCCAUACUAUUGGUUCACGUGCCAUCUAAAUUUAGGACCUUCACGAUUGAAGGCUCUUCUCACUUAAGUAAUUCUUCCUUCUGAAUCCAUUUUUUAAUUUAUUCAUUUAGCAAAUGGCCCAUAGUUUAUGUUUUUUGUUUGUUUGCUUGAAUUCAGUCAAACAAACUGAGAAAGGUGUGGAUCUUAUUGCUUCCUUAUGCCAUAAUUAUCAUACCUCUGAAGAACGUUUGAACUAAAUGAUGGACAAGUCUCACAAGGCAAUAGAAGACGUUUUCAGUAUGAAAGCACAAAGUGCUUCAGAAUUCAAAACAAAGAAUUUGGAUAAGAUAGACACAUGCAUGGAACCCUUCCUCACAUGAAUAAGAAGGGUGUUGUGAGCCAAAAAUGGGAUGCCAUACCAACAGUCAACAGGUAGAUAAAAUGACAAAAAUGAUACAUAAACUAGGCCUCACUUGAAUCCAAGGUAUCUGGCGUAUAUAGGAAUAACUGUAUUUUACCUAUCCUUUCUCUGCAAAAGCUGCUCAAGUGCUUGAAUCAGACUGUGUUUUAUCGAGCAACAGACAAAUCCAUGGGCCACAAUUCCACCUAUUUCUCCACAAGUGCACCACCUUGCCCCUCCAGACCCCAAUUUACUCUCGAAACUUGUUUGUUUUUUCUGUUAAUAUAAUUUGGAAAUUAUCAAACAUUUUGAGGUAAAGGAUGGAGGUAUAAACCUGUGUAAGGAGAAACAUGUGCCUGCAUCCACAUCGAAGUGGGCUCUGUCACUCACCACUCCAGCGCGCGGCAGGCAGCAGCGGGUGGUAUGCUCGGUGGUUCACGGCCGGGCUUGCGGGAGCGGGACUGGACCGCUGCUGCUGUGCCUCCUCCUGUGCUACACCACACUAGCUAUGUGUUUGGCGUUUCAUAUGUAGAGGAGCAGAACCCCACAUGGCCACAUAUGCAUCGAGUGUUUGGUAGUUUGUGAUGACGUUGCUUUUGGGACGGAAUGUUACACGUGUCAUGAUAGUCUGAAGUAUGGUUUCCAUUGACCUUUAAAAUCUUUGUGAUAUACCUUUUUUACAUCUACUGAUGAAUUCCUUGACUUUAAAUUGGUGUUUGUAAGGUGUAUAGCACCAACAGGACAAUGUUUAGUUCAUAUAAUCUUUUAACAGUAUAUUUAGGUUCCAGGAAUUGUCUUUGCAAGAGGGCCCGCGGUUGCUGUGUUGAUUCUUUUGGAGUCGAAUGGAGAAACAUAUGCUGUGCUUACCGAACAGGUUAGAGUUCCUAUUGGAAAAUUCCUGUUGGAGCCGCCUGCUGGGAUGCUAGAUGACGAAAAAGGUGAUUUUGUUGGCACCGCAGUCCAUGAGGUGGAAGAAGAGACCGG
Zea mays is the source of this 2022-nucleotide non-coding RNA. The record is from RefSeq and is a predicted model, not a curated record. Lineage: Eukaryota; Viridiplantae; Streptophyta; Magnoliopsida; Poales; Poaceae.